GGCUCGGUAGCUUAGUUGGUAAAGCGCUCGUCUAGCAUACAAGAGUCCCGGGUUCAAAUCCCAGCCGAGCAC
RNAcentral lists this transfer RNA (72 nucleotides) under Aedes aegypti (yellow fever mosquito). It matches the Rfam family "tRNA". Rfam says of the family: Transfer RNA (tRNA) molecules are approximately 80 nucleotides in length. Their secondary structure includes four short double-helical elements and three loops (D, anti-codon, and T loops). The record is from Rfam by way of RNAcentral. Lineage: Eukaryota; Metazoa; Arthropoda; Insecta; Diptera; Culicidae.